Small nuclear RNA from Chelmon rostratus (copperband butterflyfish), 116 nucleotides. RefSeq annotates it as U5 spliceosomal RNA. The transcript has a single exon. NCBI's taxonomy places the organism in Eukaryota, Metazoa, Chordata, Actinopteri, Chaetodontiformes, Chaetodontidae. The record is from RefSeq and is a predicted model, not a curated record.
AUACUCAGGUUUCUCUUCAUAUCGCACAAGUCUUUCGCCUUUUACUAAAGACUUCCGUGGAAAGGAACACCAAUGAGUUGCACCUAUUUUUGGACGGCUUUGCCACUCGGCUGAGC